This 6897-nucleotide long non-coding RNA is filed under the name Sus scrofa (pig). RNAcentral describes it as "lncRNA (ENSSSCG00005010085.1)". The record is from RNAcentral. Lineage: Eukaryota; Metazoa; Chordata; Mammalia; Artiodactyla; Suidae.
UCUUUUUGCCUUUUCUGGGCCACUCCCUCGGCACAUGGAGGUUCCCAGGCUAGGGGUCUAAUCAGACCUGUAGCCACCAGCCUCCACCACAGUCACAGCAACACGGGAUACGAGCUGCGUCUUCGACCUACACCACAGGUCACGGCAACGCCGGAUCGUCAACCCACUGAGCAAGGGCAGGGAUCGAACCCGCAACCUCAUGGUUCCCAGUCGGAUUCGUUAACCACUGCGCCACGACGGGAACUGACUACUGCUCUUUCGGGAUAUGACCUCUCCGUGCACCUACAGAUAAUAAGGUUGUCCAUUCGAAAACAGAAAACUUAAACACUGAAAACAGAUGAAAAGGUAACUAACAGCAAUAAGUGAAAACACCUUAAAUCUGACCAUAGGAAAAACAAAACAAGACCUAAUUAUAAAGUAUAGCAACAUGGACCUCCUAUAAUACAGGAGCUGAUUUGCACAUUUUUUAAAAAUCCACUUGACUUCUAUUCUGCAAUGAAGAAGAAAGUCCAAGAAACUGCGAAAAUACUUUAAAGUCCUUGAGUCUUCUUUUUAUAAUCAUUAUGGCACACUUCUAUACUUAUUUCUUGGAGAAACUGUCAUUUAUUUCAGCUAUGGAUUUAAGCAUCUCCAAACCUGAUUUUGCUGAAAAUAAAGUUACAAAAUGAAUAUGUACAUAUAAAGUGCAUUUAAAUUAUGAGUGCCCUUUUAAUGUUUUCUAUAAAUACAUAUAAAGUCUGGAUAUAAUUAAAAGUGGCUUAAAGCAUAUUCCUCUCAUUGGCACCCUUGAAUUACCACCUAAGAACAACCGUUGAGCACAGGAAUUUCCUGAUGUAUAUUUCCCAAGCUUUUUAUAGAAAUCAAAUACUACAUUUAAGUAAACAAUAGAAAUGUGAAUUAACCCAACAAGAAUAAAAGAGAACACAAAAAUAACCGCAUUUCCACCUGCAGGGUUUCAUGUAAAAUGUAACCGCAUACCCCAGGUCCCAAAAUAUAUGAAGUACAUUCACAGCUGUUUCCGCACGACCUCAAAGGUACAACCCAUACUCACUACAGUAUGAGUUUUCCAUACAGCAGUUGACUAAACAUACUCACUGCAAUCUCACUCCUGUCCUGUUCCUUCUCUGGAACACGCUUCUCUGCCGUCUCUUUUUGUCUGGCUUUCUCUGCGGUCUCUGUUCAACAGCUGCAGGGCUGUAGCCCCUCUGGCUUCUGGUGAUCGGCCUCCUGGUGGGUGAGGCUGGUCCCAGGGCACGAAGGGCUUGUGCCGGCUUCCAGAUGGAGGGCCAUGUGCACGCACUGGAGGGCGGGGCUUGGCUGGGGGAGAGGGCCCUGUCAAGGGCUGUGUUUAGAGGCAGCAGGGUUUAGGCAGCCUGUCGGCAACGAGUGGGGCUGUGUUUCCACCCCGUCGGCUGUUCGGCCUGAGGUGGUCCAGCACUGGAGUCUGCAGGCUCUUGGGUGGGGCCAGGUCUCAUUUCCAAUUUGACAACCUCCAGGGAGCUCCUGCCUUGAUUAUCCCCAGGGCCUCUGUCUCUCAUCUCCUGCCCCACCGCGAGGGACAGCCGCCCCUGCUCUCCCAGGAGACCCUCUAAGACGGCAGGUAGGUCUGACCCAGACGCCUAGGGAGCAGCUGCCAUGCCCGGGGCCCAGCGCACAGGAACGCCUGUGCGCCCUCCAAGAGCAGAGGCUGGGCCCUGUCCUGAGGAGCUCCGCACACAGGCUCCACUGGCCUGCGGCGCCAGAUGCUCUGGGGGCUCCUCCUCCGAGUGCGGGACCCCCAGGCUGGGACCCUGACCUGGGGUUCGGAAUGCUCGCCCCCGAGGGGGACCCUCUGCGAUACAGUUGUUUUCUAGUCUGUAGGUCGCCCACCCGGAGGACAGGAGUUUGAUUAUGUCGGUAAAGUGCCCCUCCUACCAUCUCCUUGCGGCUCCUUCUCUGUCGUUAGGGUAGAGAAUUCCUUUGGGGCAGUUUCCAGUCUUUUCUGUCAAUGGUGGAGCAGUUGGUUGUGACUUGGGUGUUUUCGUGACAGGAGGCAAGCCUGAGUCCCUCAUUCCGCCUUCUUGGCCCCUCCUCGCCAAUCUCCUUAAUAAUGUUCUCAAACUCAGCUGUCCCCACUGCACUCCGACGGCCACCUAAGACAAGAUACGCUCUCCUCCUUGGGCACGUCCACCACAACCUACAGUGAGAGCCACCUUCUGUCUCCCUCACACGGAGUCGGACACCGCAGAAAGCAAGCAUGUCACGAGGCGUGCUGGCUGCAGCUCAGCCGGACCCUGCACUCGCCGUCUGGGUGAAUUCCCGACAGCAGCCACGAUGCGUCCUAAAUAAAAACGGCCUUCAUGGUUCCUGGGCAAAUGCCAUGCAGACGCUGGCCAUGCUUUUAUCCGCCUCUUCCAGAUAAAAUCCAUGUAGGAACGGACCCCAUCUUCAAAGGCAGAACAUUCUGCAUAAAAAGCUACCCCUGCCCUUUCCCCUUUCAAGUCUUCUCGCCUGAGUAAAAGUAAGGAGAGGGGAAAAGGCGGGCUUUGGGAGCAACGGGAAAGGAGGAUAUAUUUUCGGCAAUCUUCCAGACGUAUGCGCAAUAGAAAACUACCUUCAGUGCCUAAUAAACAGAAGCCUAUGCUGACAUUUACAUCUAAAGAUUUAACUCUAAAGAUGAAAAGUCAGACUCAAGAGAAUGCAUUUUUCCUAAGUAAAAUAUCUUUUAUAUAUUCACUAAUUCAAAAGUUUUAUUCAAGAAAUUUAUAAUAGGAGUUCCCGUCGUGGCACAGUGGUUAACGAAUCCAACGAGAAACCAUGAGGUUGCGGGUUUGGUCCCUGGCCUUGCUCAGUGGGUGAAGGAUCCGGCAUUGUCGUGAGCUGUGGUGUAGGUCGCAGACGCGGCUUGGAUCCCGCGUUGCUGUGGCUCUGGCGUAGGCCGGCGGCUACAGCUCUGAUUCGACCCCUAGCCUGGGAGCCUCCAUGUGCCGCGAGAGCGGCCCAAGAAAUGGCAAAAAGACAAAAAAAAGAAAAGAAAAGAAAAAGAAAUUUAUAAUAGAUUAUGACAAAAUUAAGCACACAAGUGAUCACAUCUUUCUCCAACACACCACUGCUGACGUAUGUACUGCCCGGUGAAAAUUCAGCUCCGAGACUGACCAAGCCUCAUCUGCCCUAGUCCAUCAAAAGAGGGUACAUCUAAGGCGGACGUUUCCACGUAAACUCAACAGGUAGCCUUCAUCGACAGCGCAGGUCCAGAACAGGCCUAUCAUUUGAGGAGGCCCACAUCUGUCCCAGUUAGGUCCCAGUUAAAGCAGCCUGGCUGUGGUGCCUAAAAGCCACCUUCACCCCUCAUUCCAGAGUUUGUCCUAACCUAUGUGACAGAGGUUCUGAGUAAAUGUCAUAUACACAACCCCAAGUCGUUAUUCUCCCUGGCUUCUGUAUUUCAAAGCAGCUGUCACUUGUACACAGUUAUUGAUUUUAUGACAUGACAUUUCAUAGAGGUUUACAUAAUGAAGAAUUACUGUGAUUAAUGCACUAUACUAACAGUUCUAUUGAUAAUAAUUUCAACUUCACAAAUUAACAAAGUUUUUUUUAAAAAAGGGAGAAAUUGGGUUACUAAAAUUUACAUCAAAAACUAGAAGAAGAGCCAAAAAUAAUUGCAAAUCUCCAACAAAUCAUCCGAAAGAUCAGAGGGGGAAAAUGACCUCCAAGAGUACAGCGCACAGGGCCGGGUCACAGCAGACGCUCAGCACUGUGCUGGCCAAAGACGUGCAAACCCUGCCACGUUUCCCCGGCCUCCACGCUCACUCGCGGGGCCCAGCCACACCCACUGUUCACACAGACCCACGUACUCCGACAGGUGGAUAAGGGACUGGGAGAAGCUGACUUGCUUGAAGGAGCUGGGCUUAACGGUUACAUUCAUGACAAAAAACACAGCAUUUCAUAAACCAGGCAAGAAACGCUAUGCUGCAUUAAAUACAAUGCAGAAUAAACCAAAUAUCAGAUACCAAUUUAAUAACAAAGUAACGAAAAUCAAAGUUUUGCCAAAACAUAGACUUCCUUCCCUCUGUUAAAAUGGAAAUUACCUGAGAUUUCGUAGACAGUAAAAGCAGUGGCGAAGCUAAAACAAAUACAAUUUCACCAUAUUGUUUUCCAGAAAGUUUAACACGUGAACUGUCUGCCAUUAAAAAGCACUGACCUCAGGAUGCCCACUCCAGCCAGGAAGGGUAUUAACCACGACGGAGAAUGCCUCUGUGGGAAACAAACAGAAAACGGACCAAAUCCAGGAAACACCUUUGGUCAGCUCUUGAGACAAUGGGCAGGACUGUGACCCCCAAGGAGGAAACACUCCAGGGAGCUCCACCUGCACCCUCUGGGGCCGGCUGGAAGCAACCCCACACCACGGAACAGAAGGCGGGGACUCCACGCGGAGCACGGCCGCCCCGGGAAGUGGAGGAGAGGCAGUGUCCAGCGUGGGAAGCUGAGUGAGCUGCACCUGCAAGGCAGUGCAAUAGAGACGAAAGAGGCACAGAAAACACGUCUCCGAAACCUGCACGAGGAGUCGGAAGAUGACGGACAGCACGUUUCGCAUGAGCAAAGUGGACACUGCCCUCCCGGAGCUCCACCCGCAGCAAAACUUCCUUUCAAAAUGAAGGGGUUUUAUCAAGAGAGGACGGACGGACAGACAGGACAGACUCAUCAGUGAAAGACUAAGCAGCGACAUCAAGGAACAUUCACACACUACCACACGGGGCCCUCAACGACAGCCCAUAAAAUGCCCUACACGGUCACACACACUGGACUCUUGCACAGACACGAAAUCCCCCAACAGGCCAAAGUGCCGUGAAGAAAAACAGCGCGGUGGUCCGGGGGACGGGGGUGGGUGGGGGGCGGGCAGGGGCUGAGAGCACCAAGGGACACAAAAGAACUUCCCCAGGAAACCGAAACUGAGCGGGACCCCAUGGGGCCUCCACAGGGUACAAAAGUUCUUCCUUGCCCCCCAUUUCUUGCAAUUUCUCACCUUCUCUAAGUCCAGUUUCUCAUCUAGAAACCGGGAAUAGCAAGUGCUACCUCAGCGAAUUACCACUAAAAAAUUAAGUCUCACUCACACAACGACUGACAGACAAACGGCAGCUGUUAUGGUUCUGACCACCUUCUUCACCCCAAAUUCCUGAACCACAGGUAGGACGGGCAAGAUAAGCGUGUGCUCCCCACAAAGCUUUGAGUAUGAAAGUGACACCUCACACGGCAGGCACCACACACAGGGGACCCGCUGAGCGAAACACAGAGAACCGUCCGACCACACCCAGACUGUCCGGCAUCGACAGAAGAGGUCCUGCAGCUGGCAGUCACCCAGGUCUUUGGGGACCUUAUCUCUUACGACUGUGCCUCAGUACUGCAAACACAGGGAUGCUUCUUUUCAAAAGGACCCAAUCCAGUCACCCUUGGUCUCGCACCACCUUGUCACGAAGGGCUUGCCCUCCUCCAGGGCGCGCUCACUGCACCAUACAGACGAAAGUCACGCUCGCACGCCUCAAAGAUGUUUCCAACCGCCUGCUGGCCAUGUCCCCAGUGCAACCAAGUGCAGAGGAGCUUCUUAAAUGUCCUGACAACCAGAGCGGUGCUUCAGCACAGUCUAGCACCAAUGAUGGCUUUAGACAGCGGAUGCCAAUUUUAGUAAGUUUUGUGGCAGGUGUUCUAUAAGGAUUCUUCCAUGAAUCAACAUGAAAUCAACAUUUUAAGAUUAUUGCUUGGACUCAAAUGUCCUGAACCUCCUAAACUCGGGUUUUAAGACAACAUUAAAAACUCACAACAGAUGUUUACCAACCUGGAUGUCACACCUCCCAUAAGGCUGGUUAACUCUCUGAAGGGCGCGGCCUGUAGCUAGGUUAAUGUGCACAAUCUAUGUACAAGCUAGGUCCGGCUCUAUGCUUACUUUCAGGCCUUCUCCACCCAGAACGCCCUUCCCCAGCCACAGCCAGCCCUUUUUAUCUCUCCCUGCAUGCUCCCCAAGAAGAUUCUCCCUGGCUCUGAACUUCCCACCACACUCUUCUCAGUGGGCACCUGCUACCGUAUCUCCCGCUCCUGCCCAUCUGCCCUCUUCUUCAAGCCGGCACCACCCCCAGCAGGCUGGGCAAGCAAUCUAUCCAGGUGAAGCGGGCCCGGCAGCGGGGUCAGGGGAAGGGCAGAGAGAAUACUGGAUCAGCCUUACUUACAGAGCGAGCAGAGAAGGUGAGAGCUCUUAGCUAGACCUAAGAAUGUGAAGCGCAGUUCCAAUCGUGGCACAGCAGAAACAUCUGACUAGGAACCAUGGGGUUGCAGGCCCAAUCCCUGGCUUUACUCAGUGGGUUGGGGAUCUGACAUUGCCAUGAACUGUGGUGUAGGUCACAGACGUGGCUCGGAUCCUGCAUUGCUGGGGCUAUGGUGUAGGCUGGCAGCUGUAGCUCAGAUUAGACCCCUAGCCUGGGAAUCUCCAUAUGCCGUGGGUGCUGCCCUAAAAAGCAAAAGCAAAAAAAAACAAAAACAAAAAAAAACAGGGAAAAUGUAGCAAUUAUAAGUCCAAGAAAGCAGAAAAACAAAACCUUGAAGGGAAUGUAAUCACGCUGUUCAUUGGCUCAACAGUGAGCAGUGUUUACAAAGUCAAAAGCAAUUAAAAACUAAAACAUGGGUCUAUCCAAAAAUUGUGAUUUAACUAUAGAGUGAGGUUGAAAGUGACUUUCUCUAAGAUUGAUACCUCAAUGACUCUUGACUGUUAGGAAACAGGAUACGAAUGCUAACUGGAUAUACAUGCUCAGCAGCUAAAGCAGAUGAUUCCAGGUGCCUCUGGGGGUGGAAGGCAGAGAGCAGGCAGGAGCCCGCUGCCCUCCACAUGAACCUUUCAGCACUGCAUUACUUCUGAACCACACACACGAGCCACCC